Molecule: long non-coding RNA, 913 nt
Organism: Musa acuminata AAA Group (dessert banana)
Lineage: Eukaryota; Viridiplantae; Streptophyta; Magnoliopsida; Zingiberales; Musaceae
Exons: 3
Source: RefSeq, a predicted model, not a curated record
GGUCGCAUUAAGACGAGAAGGGCAGAGUCUGCUAGGUUAUAAAUACCGGCUCCUUGCAGGGAAAGCAGAGCAGCAAAGACAAUUGUAGUCGACGAUUGCCCUCUUCAAGUGUACUUCUAGUCCUGUUUGUGUGAGAGAGAGAGAGACAGCAAGAGAAAGAGCUGAUGGCAGGAAAGAAAGCAUCCUCCACUUCGAAAGAGGCAGGCCUCAGCGGCAAGUCCUCCUCCGCUGGCGACUUCAGCAUCGUCUUCUCUCCCGCUCCCAUGGCGAUGGCUAAGGAUGUGCCAGUCAGACUUGUACUGGCCUUUGAACAACCAAAGAACUGAAUCGAACAAUGGAAGCGUUCAGAGAGUGCUGCAGAUAACAAAAGGCAGGGCAGCACAAGCAAAAGCAAAAAGGAAGGAAUUUAUCCUACUGAGUCAGCAGAAUCCGCCUAUCUUGGAUCAUCUGUGCACUGUGGUGGUCGAGAUUUCUAUACAACCUCUGCAGCCAUCAACACUUCUGUGAAUCCUGAGAACGCAAGUGAGUUUCUUUACAUACUAGAAUAAGAAAAAGGGUUUUCCUGGUUUGCCUUGUAAUGGAAUAACUUCUUAACAUAAAUCAUUUUGCCACUUUUUUCGGGAGAAUUAUGAGCAUAAGACUUAUGGAGAGGGUGACUCCGACAACUCAAACAAUGCUACAAGAGGUAAAUGGUGGCAAGGUAAUAUAUCUCUGUAAGAAGGCUUUCUUAUCUAAAUGGAAUGCGUUACACAGGACAUUUCAUUAGUUUCAUCCAACUAUUCCUCUCUCAAGUUCGCUUUACUACUGAAUUGAAGAAUCUGUCCAGAGAAGUAUCAUCUUGCAUUUUAGGAAGGGAAAGGUAAUUUGAAGUUGUCGGCCUGGAUUUAAUUCUGCAUCAACCUUACUAUGAUCU